AUUCCUUGAUAAUUAUUUUAAGGAGUUGAAUUUGCUUAGACAAUAUUUUGUACUCACUGCUCAGUUUGUUUCCAGAGCGGUGAAAGAUGUUCUUCAGAUCUUUUUGCCACUGGUACUUUAAUUUGAAGAAUUUUUUGGUUCUCUCUGAGAGUGGAUCUUCCCGUUCUUAAUUAUAAUUUUCUGAGAGUGAGAUUCGUGAAUUGAGGUUUGCGUUUGUUGGGGGCAUAAUAUGUCCAUUUGAAUUCCCUAAAUCGCGGCGAAAUUGCUCCCAAUUGGUAUUCUUAUAAGAGACGAAUGAAUGUGGUGUAUUCAAAAUUAAGCUUGAGGGGUCUAUUUUUAGUUUUAAUUUGAUCGGAAAAUUAUCUGAAAAGGUUGGCAGUGAUGAGACGGAAAAAUCUGGAUUAUUUCUAUCGAUGAAUUUGGUGCUGAUAAGAAAGUGAUCCAAAAAUGAAGAUCCAUUUGGGGCUUUUCCGUUGAGAUUUUCUGUCACGUCACCCCAUGAUGAGCAUUUUGAAUUAAGAUCACCACCAAGUAUGAACCCAUCAAAACCUAAACAGGAUUGAAGAAUCGUAUUUAGAUCCGACUCAAGCUGCUGCGACGGAUAGUUGCAUGGAAUAUAAAUAGAACCAAAUAUAUAUCUCUUACGUGUGUUGUUAUAUGAGGAAUUAAUUUGUAUAAAUGAAGUACUUAUCCCAACAUUAUUUAUGGAAAAACUAUUGUAUUGUAUAGAGUUUUUAAUUGCCACCGCUACUCCAAUAGGAGAAUUAUCAUAAAUAAAGUUAUAACCCUCAAA
Molecule: long non-coding RNA, 793 nt
Organism: Calliphora vicina (urban bluebottle blowfly)
Lineage: Eukaryota; Metazoa; Arthropoda; Insecta; Diptera; Calliphoridae
Exons: 3
Source: RefSeq, a predicted model, not a curated record